This 698-nucleotide ribosomal RNA is filed under the name uncultured eukaryote. RNAcentral describes it as "SSU rRNA". It matches the Rfam family "Eukaryotic small subunit ribosomal RNA", at positions 693 to 1426 of the family's 1831-position model. The record is from RNAcentral.
GGUGAGUACUGCUUCGGCCGGGUCUUUCCUUCUGGCUAGCCAUUUGGCGAACCAGACGAUUACUUUGAGGAAAUUAGAGUGUUCAAAGCAGGCCUUUGCUCGGAUAUAUUAGCAUGGAAUAUAGAUAGACGUAUGGGUUCUAUUUGUUGGUUUCUAGACCAUCGUAUGAUUAUAGGGACGGUCGGGGGCAUCAGUAUUCAGUUGUCAGAGGUGAAAUUCUUGGAUUAACUGAAGACUAACUACUGCGAAAGCAUUUGCCAAGGACGUUUUCAUUAAUCAAGAACGAAAGUUAGGGGAUCGAAGAUGAUCAGAUACCGUCGUAGUCUUAACCAUAAACUAUGCCGACUAGGGAUCGGGUGGCGCUAUUUUGCCCACUCGGCACCUUACGAGAAAUCAAAGUUUUUGGGUUCUGGGGGGAGUAUGGUCGCAAGGCUGAAACUUAAAGGAAUUGACGGAAGGGCACCACCAGGAGUGGAGCCUGCGGCUUAAUUUGACUCAACACGGGGAAACUCACCAGGUCCAGACGUAAUAAGGAUUGACAAGUUAGAGACUUCUCUUGAUCUUACGGGUGGUGGUGCAUGGCCGUUUUUAGUCCUUGGAGUGAUUUGUCUGCUUAAUUGCGAUAACGGACGAGACCUUAACCUGCUAAAUAGGGCUGCGAGCAUCUGCUCGUGGGCUCUUCUUAGAGGGACUAUGGG